GUCCAGGGGUAGUCCAGUGGUUAAGAUUUUGGGCUACUGAUUGGAAAGGUCUUGGGUUCAAAUCCCAGCACCACA
Molecule: non-coding RNA, 75 nt
Organism: Pangasius djambal
Lineage: Eukaryota; Metazoa; Chordata; Actinopteri; Siluriformes; Pangasiidae
Source: the annotation of a GenBank genome assembly